GAUGAACGCUGGCGGCGUGCCUAAUACAUGCAAGUCGAGCGAACAGACGAGGAGCUUGCUCCUCUGACGUUAGCGGCGGACGGGUGAGUAACACGUGGAUAACCUACCUAUAAGACUGGGAUAACUUCGGGAAACCGGAGCUAAUACCGGAUAAUAUAUUGAACCGCAUGGUUCAAUAGUGAAAGACGGUUUUGCUGUUACUUAUAGAUGGAUCCGCGCCGCAGUAGCUAGUUGGUAAGGUAACGGCUUACCAAGGCAACGAUGCGUAGCCGACCUGAGAGGGUGAUCGGCCACACUGGAACUGAGACACGGUCCAGACUCCUACGGGAGGCAGCAGUAGGGAAUCUUCCGCAAUGGGCGAAAGCUUGACGGAGCAACGCCGCGUGAGUGAUGAAGGUCUUCGGAUCGUAAAACUCUGUUAUUAGGGAAGAACAAAUGUGUAAGUAACUAUGCACGUCUUGACGGUACCUAAUCAGAAAGCCACGGCUAACUACGUG
RNAcentral lists this ribosomal RNA (497 nucleotides) under uncultured bacterium. RNAcentral's name for it is "partial 16S ribosomal RNA". It matches the Rfam family "Bacterial small subunit ribosomal RNA", at positions 28 to 507 of the family's 1533-position model. The record is from RNAcentral.